GAACUAGUCACAUCAUAAUCGUUUGAAAUUACAGAAAAAUUAUGUAACGUGCGGUAAAAAAGUACGAUAAAAAAAUAUUUAUAUUUUAUUUAUUUUUGUACGUAAUAUUACGUUCCGUAUAUCGCGAUGAAUCGAUUACGAUAUAUUUUCUACGAUAUCACCGGAGAAUGCAGAAAACAUAUCUCUAUAUACUUUAAUCCUAAAUCUAUUUCACCUAAUAGCGUCAGAUGGACAAUACCGAACUAAGUCCUAGUCCAUUUUAAUCCAUAAUUUUUUUAAAAAAAAAUAUUUAAAGUCGAAUUUGAUCCUUUUGACUAAAAUUUAUUUUUUAAUCGAUCGUCCCUAGCGUAAAUAGCAAAGGGCAUGGUGGUUGAUAGCUGCGAUUCUAAGUUUAAAUACUAAUUGAUUCAUAUUUUUAGCUAAAUUUAUUUUUUUGAAAAAUAAAUGAUGCGCUGAAAUUUAUUUUUUAAAAAUAAAUGAUGCAACAAGUUGGGAAGCAAGCACCUUAUAUAUUUAUAUGAUGUGGCUGCUUAUGUUACUUGGGACUUUUUUUGGCUCUGCCAAUGCUUUAAUUUGUAAAAGUAGCUUAAGUUUUAGUUUAGUAUUGAGAUUUAUCUAACGCUAUUAGAUAAAAUAGAGUUGAGGAAAAAAUAUAUAGGAAUAUAUUUAUGCGUUUUUCGGUGGAACCGUAAAAAAUAUAUCGUAACCGACUCAUCGCGAUCUGCGGAACAUAAUAUUACGUACAAAAACAAACAGAAUAUUUUUUUAUUGUACUUUCUCACCGCACGUUCUGCGCAAUCUGAAACGAAGACUUAGUCAAAAUAACUUUUAUAUAUGUAGAGUUAUUU
Molecule: long non-coding RNA, 848 nt
Filed under: Ananas comosus (pineapple)
Lineage: Eukaryota; Viridiplantae; Streptophyta; Magnoliopsida; Poales; Bromeliaceae
Description: long non-coding RNA (ACOM_LNC011307)
Source: RNAcentral